Long non-coding RNA from Cryptomeria japonica (Japanese cedar), 1572 nucleotides. RefSeq lists it as uncharacterized. The record is from RefSeq and is a predicted model, not a curated record. The transcript is spliced from 3 exons. Lineage: Eukaryota; Viridiplantae; Streptophyta; Pinopsida; Cupressales; Cupressaceae.
CUUCUCAAUAAUGCUCUGUCUUUUACAUAUUUUCUAUCCCUUAUUAGGUAGUUCCUGCCCAGCAUGCAACUAUUGCGGAGGAAAAUAAAUAAACAAAAUUAAACAGUUAUUAAAAUCUAUGUUCACAGUGGGGAUCAUCUGUUGGUGUAACGGUGAAAUGGUUGCAUUGUUUAUGGUGCAACAAAGUUUAAAUUUUUACCUGGACUAAUUUGAUCUCAUAUUGGUAGGAGGACUACCGGUUUGAUCCCAUAUUGGUAGGAGGACUCUAUGGCGGCUGAUCUUGGAGGACAUACAAGUGACCCUUGCUGGGCAGGACUCUACAGCAGCUGAUCUUGGAGGACAUACAAGUGACCCUUCCUGUGCAGGACUCUAUGGCAGCUGAUCUUGGAGGACAUAUAGUUGACCCUUGUUGGACUGGUGUGGUUGCGAACCCUGUUCCUUGUAGACAGGUGCUGCACCUACUGCUGCAGUCUUGGACGACAUACAAAUGAUCCUUGCUAGACUGGUGUGCUGAUGACCCUGUUCCUCGUAGGCCUGUGCUGCACCUACUGCUGCGGUCUUGGAUAUAGGGUUGACCAAGGCAUCAUAGCCAAUCACAAUUAAGAAUUAAGCUAUUUCUAAAUAUUUAUUUCUGUCAUUUAGUUUCUUAAACAAAAUUGCAUAUUUUAUAAGAGAAAUAUUAAUUCAAAAAAGUUUGGCACUCUCUUAUUGGGCUGUUUGUACGGUUGCAGGGUAUAGAAUAUUUUUAUAUCUUCUCAAUAUUAGAGAACGCACAUCUCUCAAUACAGUGCUCUGUCGAUAAGGCAGAUUAUCAAAAAGAAAACACAAAAUUCGAGCAAUCUGCUGCCAUGCAAUUUUUCAAUUUCAAUCCUGCAUUCACGGCAGGCCAAGAGGACACUGCUUCUUUCAGACAUUUGGGUGAACAGUCCAUGUGCCUUGCCUGUGCUUCCACUUUUUGCACACAUUUUGCAGGAUAAUACAAGGUCAUUAGUAGCGAUGGAUGAUAUUUGAAGGGACAUUGGAUAAUUAAUAUUGCAGAGCCCCUUGCUGGAGAAGUAACCACCAUCCCUAAUGGCAAGGCUGUUGAGGACACUCCAAAUGAGUUGGUGUUGGAUGGCGGUUUUGUGACCUCAGAAAGCAACAGAUUCGGCUAUGUUUUCAGAAGCUCUGGAGCUCGAAUGUCUAUCUGCUGAGGAAAUUAUCAAAGGAGUUUCAGGCACACUGGUGAUCUUUAAUGUCAGAGGCAACGGCGAUGGGAAAAAUAACAUAGUCAACAAUGACACCAACGGCUGCAUAUCAGAAAUUGAAGGAAAAAAGAAGAUAAAUGGAUUCUUCAACACUAUUACUGGAUAAAUCUUGAAUGUCCAUAAUUUUUAUUCGUUUGCUUAUACAACUAUUGGGGUUUUUUUACUUUGUGAGGAAAAAUAAAAUAUUAACUGCAAACAAUUUUCUGCUAUAAGCUUUUGUGACAGUAGAUAUCAAUAUAUUGCUUCCACCGGUUAUUGAAGAAGCAAUAUCAAGUGUGGUAGUUGAGAAAAUUUUAUUUAUGGUUAUUACUUUUUAGUGUUUUUU